UACUCUCGAAUAUUCAUCAUCCCAUAAAGCAUCCUCUCUGGAUUGUAAGACAUCUCAGACCUCUCGUUAAAAUUCUGACUUUGAGAAGUAUCCUCGAGAUGAUGGUACGGUUGUGGAGGAGCCCAUCCAAAUAUGCCAGUAGCAAAAUCUGAUCUGUAAGAUGCUCCAGACUGCAUAGGGUAGUAACCACUAGAAGAUGAUGCCUCGGAUGCACCAUAUGCAUAUGGAUCAUAAGGUGGCUGUGGAUAAUAGGAUUCAUAAUGCGAGGAUGAUCCAGAUACAUCCAUGGACCCUACUGUAGGGUUUUGGUGUACAGAGCGGAAGCACGGAUUUCAAAGCAUUUAAUAUGAAAUCAUAAACCAAAACCUAACUCCAGGAACACCUUAUUAGAAUUUAAACCAUAUUAAUAUGCAUUAAUAUCAGAAUAUAAGGUAUAGAAACAUACCUACAAUCGCUAAACCCUUAUUUGUGCUCGAUUGUCGGCAGCAGUCCGUCAGGGUUUCCACCAGGUGCCCACGUGUUCACCCUCCAACGUUGAUCCACAUAGGGACUCGAUCAACCCUCUAGCACCUUUUAAAUUUUUUCUGCAAUUAAAUUCUUAUUUUUCAGAAUUUAAUUUCUAUUUGGGCAGAACCUCCUUUCUUGGCUUUGCUGUCACCCUGUUGAACCUUUCCUUGCCUUUCUUUCUUGCUCCUUGUCACCUUAGUUUUUAUUCUAAUUCUCUAAGCCUUUUGGAAGACUUCUUGUCCUCUAUCAGGAUCUUGUCUAGGCUAGAGAAGAAGAAUAAGAAAAAUUGGACAAGAGGAGCCUAUUCUAAAAAAAAAAGAAGGAGAAUUGGAUGUCUUGGACACUAGGUGUGCACCCCUAUUUAUAUUGCACGUAGGGGUGCAAACCAAGCAUCUCACGCCCACACACAAAGCAUCUCACGCCUCCUCCCAUUUUCUCACGCCCCAUCAGAGUAUAGAAUGCCAUGUGUACAUCAAAGUUGGGUUGAAGAGGUGCCUCGAGGCAGAAGGACUCUUCAUACUCAACUUACGGUGUUCACAUGAGAAGUCGCAAUGCUUCUCUUAUUGGUGCCAUUUCUCAUAGCCUUUGGAUCUGGAAGGAAGCCCAUCCAAUGGCCAAGAGAGAGGGCGCCAACAUCAGGGUGGGCGCAUGAGAGAGGAGGGCAUGGAAAAGUCAAAACUAUCUCUCCAUUUGACUUGGUCCAAGGGGCGCUUCCAAGGGGUGGCGCAUGGGAUUUCAUCCUUAUCUCUUCCCACAAAUAUUCUACGGAGUGUUUCAGAUACAGAAGGACUCUUAGGCGCCUUCUAAGAGAUCUGAAAGCCUCGUAGAAUAAAAAACCAUGGAAGAAAAAUGGAUAAUUCUAAGCAAGGGGCGCCAACACUCAUCCAUGCGCCAUGUGUCACAUGCGCAUGGACCAAAAACUCAUGCGCCAAGAGAGAGAGUCUCAGGCGCAUGGGUUUGAAAUUAAAAACAGCCAAGUGUUAAGUAAUUAAACAAAAGGUUAACCCAAUUAACUAGCCAAAUUUAAUUUGACUCUAAUUGGAUCUAAUUAGCGCAAAUCGGAAUCCGAUUCGAAUCCGAUUCGAAUCUAGAUGCUAGGGUUUGCAACAUGUGCUAGCAUGUUCAACUUGCAAACAUGGUUUAAUCCAAUUAAACCCCUGAUCGAUUUUCUUUGUGUGUGAUCCAUUGGGUUCCACAUCUAGCCAGCAGUGAGUCCGGAUGCAAUUUAACCUAAUCUAGUUAGAACACAACCGAGCCGAUUUAGGUCAAAUCGAGCUGACCCGUUUCGAUCAAUCAGAACAACUUCUAAUGUUCGAUCGUAUUAAACUCUUUAAUCCGAUCGAACUCAUAAGACAUGAUUGACGUCUAGCAACGUGUCGUGUCUACCUGGAAGAUAUGAAAUUUUGAUGGAAAUACCAAAAAUACCCUUCAGUAGGAAGUUACCGUGCAACUUGAUCUUACGAUCAUCCUGCAAUCCGAAUAUAACUUUGAGUAUGGAAAAAUGUCAAACCCAAUUUUAUAUUCAUAUUUCUCUCGAUCAAAUAAUGAUGAUUCGAUUUAUAAAACAUUAGAAAUCAUUUCUAAUAUUUUAUCAUAUUUUGAUCAAAGUCUUCCUGAAUCACCAUUCGAUCGAAGCAGAU
Molecule: long non-coding RNA, 2147 nt
Filed under: Elaeis guineensis (African oil palm)
Lineage: Eukaryota; Viridiplantae; Streptophyta; Magnoliopsida; Arecales; Arecaceae
Description: long non-coding RNA (EGUI_LNC081505)
Source: RNAcentral